Long non-coding RNA from Vitis vinifera (wine grape), 805 nucleotides. RefSeq lists it as uncharacterized. The record is from RefSeq and is a predicted model, not a curated record. The transcript has 2 exons. Lineage: Eukaryota; Viridiplantae; Streptophyta; Magnoliopsida; Vitales; Vitaceae.
GCUAAAUUUGAAACAAUCGAUUUCAUAUCUUGAAUUGCUUUGUCAAAUUCAUCGGAAGGAAUCCGAGAAACUGCACUUUCAUCGACAAAAGCAACGCCAACACCAAAUACAGCUGUCUCAUUGGUACAACCGCUGCAUGUAUACUUGAUGAUGAACGAAGUUGAGAAGAGAAAAAGACCUGGAAGAAGGACCGCCGGAGAAGGCGACAAGAACGUUAUCCGUUGGGGAAAUCAUAGCGUUGGAGGUGACGGCGAGUUUGAACUUGCCGAAUAGAUUGCCGCGGAAGCAAUCGAAGCAAAAUCGGCCAAUGUCCCCGUCGACCGAGACUGUGCCGGAGGAGGCGAGGGUCUCGUUCACCUUGCACUUGAGGCAGAGAUUAUGGUGAUUGGGAAGGUCGAUAUCGCUGCCACUUGAAAGAGUCCGAUUGGUUAACUUCUUCUUCUCCGUCACGACCGAGUCGUCGUCGUCCCGGAAGCAACCGGACUGACAAUUUCCGGCGCCGCAGGCCAUGGCGAUCGCCUAUCGACUUCGCACUUUUAGGGUUUCUUGGUUCCGGUCCAGUGAAGCGUGUAGGGUUUUGGCGUUGGUGCUAUUUAGGACGUGUUUGGAAAGUCCGUUACCGUAACCGCCUCAUGGACUAUUCUUUUUCCUGAACCAGUUUAGGGUUUUCUCUGGGCACAACUUUGGAGUCGAAAGGUUCAAGUGUAGUGGAGAAAAAUAUAGUUGUUUAUUUUAAGCUUUUAAACGAAAAUAAUUGCAUAUAUGGUUUCAAUUAUAGUGUGAGAAUGAAGCAAAUUUUGCUCUA